GAUGAACGCUGGCGGCGUGCCUAAUACAUGCAAGUCGAGCGAACAGACGAGGAGCUUGCUCCUCUGACGUUAGCGGCGGACGGGUGAGUAACACGUGGAUAACCUACCUAGAAGACUGGGAGAACUUCGGGAAACCGGAGCUAAUACCGGAUAAUAUAUUGAACCGCAUGGUUCAAUAGUGAAAGACGGUUUUGCUGUCACUUAUAGAUGGAUCCGCGCCGCAUUAGCUAGUUGGUAAGGUAACGGCUUACCAAGGCGACGAUGCGUAGCCGACCUGAGAGGGUGAUCGGACACACUGGAAGUGAGACGCGGUCCAGACUCCGACGGGAGGCAGGAGUAGGGAAUCAUCCGAAAUGGGAGAAAGCCUGACGGAGCAACGCCGCGUGAGUGAAGAAGGUAUUCGGAUCGUAAAACUCUGUUAUUAGGGAAGAAAAAAUGUGUAAGUAACUAUGCACGUCUUGACGGUACCUAAUCAGAAAGCCACGGCUAACUACGG
RNAcentral lists this ribosomal RNA (496 nucleotides) under uncultured bacterium. Its description in RNAcentral is "partial 16S ribosomal RNA". It matches the Rfam family "Bacterial small subunit ribosomal RNA", at positions 28 to 506 of the family's 1533-position model. The record is from RNAcentral.